GGGAACCAACAAUAUCAUACCGAGAGACAAGAGUUCGGUUUAUGAUUGGGAGGCGAAAGAAACGCCCAUUGAACAGACUGAUAGGAGAGAGUGACGAGGAAGACGAUAUGAAAGAGGAGAUGGCCACCCUGAUGCAACGUCCUGGGAUUAUAGUUGUCAUCUUGCUCUUUUUUGGAUGUACCUGCCUACUUUCUGCUCUGCACUUGAGAUAUUCAGAGUCACUAGUUCCACUUUCUUUACUGGAUAUGGAUAAGUGUCAGGAAAAGCUCCCAGAGAGUUACCACCAAGAUCUGCUGGAGAUGAAGAAGAAGUUUGAAUACCUUCUACCGCAAGCAGAUCUCUGGCCCAACUUUGCUCUGGAGUCACAAGGUGCAAGAGUUGUGUACACAACACCACUGAAACAUAUCAGAGCUUCAGGUCAUGCAAAUUGUUUGGGAUACCUUUAAAUCAACAACCUUUGGGCCCAAACAUUGUCAUUCAGGGAAGGACUCAUCUGAAUCCUGGAGAAUGCUGGGCAUUCGCAGGUUUCCCAGGAAGUUUGUCUGUUGAACUGUCCCACAAGGCCAUUGUGACUCAUGUGUCUGUAGGUCACAUUCCAAAGAUGAUAUCCCCAUCUUUCACAGUUUCUAGCGCUCCAAAGGAAUUUUCUGUUUAUGGAAAGAAGAAUAUAAAAGAAAAGGAGACUUUCUUGGGAAGUUUUCAAUAUAAAGAAGAUGGCGACAGGAUUCAGACCUUCAAACUUCCUGAUGAUAACACUGACUCCUUCACCUAUGUUAGCAUACAGGUGAACAGCAACUGGGGUCAUCCAGAGUACACCUGCCUCUAUAACUUUAGAGUGCAUGGUGAACUUGCCCCAUGAAG
Poeciliopsis prolifica (blackstripe livebearer) is the source of this 861-nucleotide long non-coding RNA. RefSeq lists it as uncharacterized. The record is from RefSeq and is a predicted model, not a curated record. The transcript is spliced from 8 exons. NCBI's taxonomy places the organism in Eukaryota, Metazoa, Chordata, Actinopteri, Cyprinodontiformes, Poeciliidae.